Molecule: long non-coding RNA, 1604 nt
Organism: Paramisgurnus dabryanus
Lineage: Eukaryota; Metazoa; Chordata; Actinopteri; Cypriniformes; Cobitidae
Source: RefSeq, a predicted model, not a curated record
UUUAAACUCAAUGUAUCAAUUUUAAAGGCCAUUAUGUUUACUUUUCAUGUACGUAAUUGUGUUUAACAAUUAGAUGUGAUGUAGAUAUAAUAUUUUUAGAUGCGUUGUCACAUUGUUGCUGUCUUUUGUGAGUAAUGCCAUAUUUGUCUAGGGAAUUUAGUGACUGCAGUACUGGAAGAUUCCAGUAGGGGGCGUGGACAGGUGACUAGGGUCAAGCACGCGUUCCUUUAGUAUCAUAGAACAAUAGACUGAUCGAGGGAAACUCAGCGUGUUUGUUUGUCUCUAAUACCUGUUCCCUUAUUGCAGAUUUCAAAUAAGAUGAUAGACUGGGAGUGCAGGGUGUAAAAAGAUUCAUCGUUCAAGACUCCACGUCCUCAGACACCACAGACUAGAACAUAGACACUGCUCAAAAAUAAGUCCACUUCCAUCUUGAUUAUUCUGAAGUGCAUAUUGAGAGAGAGCCACUGGAGCAAUAUAUGGUUGUGCGUUACAGCUCUAAUGGCCAAAUGCAGUGAAUUUCUCUGUUGUUCUUGAGGACGAAUUGGUCACCACCCACAACCAACUUCCAGAUGCCUUUCUUGUCCUGUUUGGAUUCCUGUAUGCUUUUCACGUACAUAUUCCUAAAGGACUUGCAAAAACAUUGGUAUUUGUGCAAAAAACUUUUGCUUGGCAUGGAAGAUGGGGAAACUGUCUCCUAUCCUGCAAACCUUAAAGAACAAGUUGAUGUGAAGCAUAACUUGUACUACCUCAGCACACACAAAAGACAAAAAGAGUUACUUAAAUGUUAUCUAACUGAUGUUACUUUGAUUUUUUUACUUGUAUCUACUUAGUUUUUAUUGACAAGUUAUUGUAUUAACAAAGCGGUUCAGUUUAAGAAAUUGUCAUGUUUAAUGGAACUGUGUGGUGUUAAUAUAUGAAGUUGGCUGUUUAACAUUCCUUGCUCAUUUCUCAUUUUAUAAAAUGCUGUUAAACAAUUUGAGCCUGUUAAAAGGUAUGUUGUGUUGCUAAGAGAAUUACAUUUUUGACUGAAAAAUAUGAAAUGCUGUUUAACAGUUAUGUUACCUUGAACCCAUUAAAAGGGUAACUUUACUUUUGUGGGUUGCUAAACAGACUUUAAAGCUCACGUAACACACGCUGUUUCUGCAUUUCUGAUAUUAAUCUGGAGUACCUAUGGAGUAGUAUGACAUCCUUUAUAUCUCUGAAGAGUCUUUAGUUUAAUCAGAUUUAUAAAAGAAAGAUUAGCUUUACCGAAUCUUUCCGAUAACGUACUAAAAAAUGAAGAAGGAGGAGUUAUAACACGGGAGGAGCGAGUACGAGUCAUGCAACACUAUACAACACUGUUUUAACUUAUGAUUCACUACAUGUUCGUGUCAUUUAUAUAAUAUACACGCGCCUAUUUCCAACAUAAGACAGAAGUCUUACUUACCACGUGUAACUCGUCAUGAAAAUCCACCGCAUCAAACACACACGCAAAACUCCGCUGCUAAUCCGGAUAAUAAACUAUAUCCAUUGUUUCCAUAAGGCUGGAUGUCUUCUCCUUACAUCCAAAAACACACUUCUUGUUGUGCCAUUGUUGACUUUUGAAAUUAAACAAAGCUGAGUGG